ACUAUGUUCUUUUCAACGAAUUUUAGCUGUGAGACCGGUUUGAGAGGUGUAGGAAAAGGAGGGGAAAGGAAUCUGAAUCUACUAACUUGUAUAUAAACAGCUUUACAGUUUCACACGUAACGAAUAGCGUUCGUUUCGUAAUUCAAUCAUUACCGAGAUUUUCAUCUGUUUUCCUUUCUUAUUCAAAAUUUGUCAACGAAUAUUUUCGGGAAACAAUUACGAUUGUUUAUUGCGCGAACGUCUUUUCUCGAUAUAUCACAUCACUAAAGAAUAAUUCUUUAUAACAGACUAAACAGUCGAAGAAAAGUUGAAAGUUUGGAAAAUCUAAAGGAAUGAUGAAGUGUUAUAAAGCGUUCAUAUCGUUUAUCGUUGCUAUAUGAAUCGUUUACAGUUUACGGACGAAGACUGGACAAGACUAAAUAAUCGAUCGACAGGGUAUCAUUCUACGCAUGGAAGUAAGCUGAAAACGUACAAUACAUUUUUCUAUUUAAGACUCUAUUUUCAAGAAAAUAGAGUUUGAACGCAAUUUAGUUAAGAAUCGGUCUAGUACGUAUGUAUGAUAAAUUUCAUGCUAUUACACGCUAUUAAAUUUAUCAUAUCAAAUAUUAAAUUACGUGCUAUUCGUUCGGGCCAUGCGUAUUUAAA
Molecule: long non-coding RNA, 645 nt
Organism: Bombus impatiens (common eastern bumble bee)
Lineage: Eukaryota; Metazoa; Arthropoda; Insecta; Hymenoptera; Apidae
Exons: 2
Source: RefSeq, a predicted model, not a curated record